This 241-nucleotide long non-coding RNA is filed under the name Rattus norvegicus (Norway rat). RNAcentral describes it as "long non-coding RNA NONRATT003609". Lineage: Eukaryota; Metazoa; Chordata; Mammalia; Rodentia; Muridae. The record is from RNAcentral.
GGCGCCGCCGCCUCCACCGCCUGGGACGCAGGGGUGGGGGACGGACGAGCCCCGAUGCCGGGGGAGACGGAGGAGCCGCGAUCCCCGGAGCAGCAGGACCAGGAAGGGGGCCCGGCAGCGGCGGCCGACGCGGCUUCGGACGAGCUCCGGUCCGGCGUGGCGGCGGCGGCGAAGCCUGCAGAGACUGCGAGCAGCCGCGUGCUGAGAGGAGGUCGGGAUCGCGGCCGGACCGCUGCGGCCG